This is a non-coding RNA of Molorchus minor, 74 nucleotides long. NCBI's taxonomy places the organism in Eukaryota, Metazoa, Arthropoda, Insecta, Coleoptera, Cerambycidae. The record is from the annotation of a GenBank genome assembly.
GGCUCGUUAGCUCAGUUGGUUAGAGCGCCGCACUUAACUCGCGGAGGUCGUAGGUUCGAUCCCUACAUGAGCCC